RNAcentral lists this ribosomal RNA (589 nucleotides) under Biscogniauxia mediterranea. RNAcentral describes it as "eukaryotic LSU rRNA". It matches the Rfam family "Eukaryotic large subunit ribosomal RNA", at positions 36 to 649 of the family's 3401-position model. Lineage: Eukaryota; Fungi; Ascomycota; Sordariomycetes; Xylariales; Xylariaceae. The record is from RNAcentral.
AAGCAUAUCAAUAAGCGGAGGAAAAGAAACCAACAGGGAUUGCCCUAGUAACGGCGAGUGAAGCGGCAACAGCUCAAAUUUGAAAUCUGGCCUUCGGGUCCGAGUUGUAAUUUGUAGAGGAUGCUUUUGGCGCGGUGCCUUCCGAGUUCCCUGGAACGGGACGCCUUAGAGGGUGAGAGCCCCGUACGGUUGGACACCAAGCCUCUGUAAAGCUCCUUCGACGAGUCGAGUAGUUUGGGAAUGCUGCUCUAAAUGGGAGGUAAAUUUCUUCUAAAGCUAAAUACCGGCCAGAGACCGAUAGCGCACAAGUAGAGUGAUCGAAAGAUGAAAAGCACUUUGAAAAGAGGGUUAAAUAGCACGUGAAAUUGUUGAAAGGGAAGCGUUUACGGCCAGACCUUUUCCUGGCGGAUCAUCUGGUGUUCUCACCAGUGCACUCCGCCAGGUUUAGGCCAGCAUCGGCUCCCGUAGGGGGAUAAAAGCAGUGGGAAAGUAGCUCCCUCGGGAGUGUUAUAGCCCGCUGCACAAUACCCUUACAGGGGCCGAGGACCGCGCUUUUGCAAGGAUGCUGGCGUAAUGGUCGUCAACGACC